AACAACUUUCCGCCCCUCUCAGAGCACAUAAUUUGCAUCAUCUUUUGCAAGCGCUCAUUACAUCCUACACCACCAACAAUCAACACGUCUUUCUUAUCGCAAUGCGCCAUGGCUCGUUCUGUAAUCUCUACAAGCAUUGCAAACAGAGUUUCCUGUAAAGAGAAACAAAGGUCAGCCGGACUGCACUCGUUAUUUUUCAGCUUCUCCUCAGCUGUGGCUUCAAUGAAGCUCAGUAUUCCACUGAAGGAAAUGUCCAUUCCCUUCACAACAUAUGGAAGUUCAAUGAACUUCUCACCUUUUUUCGCAAGCUGUUCAAUGUUGUACCCAGG
This 329-nucleotide unclassified non-coding RNA is filed under the name Hevea brasiliensis (rubber tree). The record is from RNAcentral. Lineage: Eukaryota; Viridiplantae; Streptophyta; Magnoliopsida; Malpighiales; Euphorbiaceae.